Molecule: long non-coding RNA, 700 nt
Organism: Cyanistes caeruleus (blue tit)
Lineage: Eukaryota; Metazoa; Chordata; Aves; Passeriformes; Paridae
Source: Ensembl
GAAAUAGAGCCAGCUAGCAGCAGUCAAGGUGAAGUGGGCAAGGCGGUCCAGUCGCGUUUCGUCGAGACCCCGUCGCCAGCCGGCCGGCACGCCUGCUUCGCCGCUCCCGUGAGCCCUGCGGAAGCGUCACAGGGACUGCGUGACGGAGCCUUUUCCACGUAAAGGGGCCGUGUGGGUGGCCUUCAGGAAGGGGCCGAGGGCUUCCCGCGCGCCCUGCGACGACGCUGCCUGGUCCCGGCGUGGCCCUAUCGUGCGGCCUCAGGACACGGCCCUGACGGAGAGACGACAGCCUGGCGAUGGCAGGAACUUCCCGGAUAGCCAGGCGGCCUUCCUUGGCGCUCCGUGUGGAUCCUCCCCAGCGGGCAUCCGAGAGCUGAGUCAAAGGCUACGACCCGCGGAGGGGAUGGAAGCGGGGUGCCGGGUCGGGGCUCGUGACCUGGGAUUUUUGAGUCAGCUUUGGGGACGGGGAGGNNNNNNNNNNNNNNNNNNNNUGACACACCAGACGACAGCGUCCGGCACCCGGCAUGGCCAUAUCGUGCGGCCUCAGGACACGGCCAUUCAUAGGAGACCGUGAGUAGCGGAAUUGUCGGGUUUUGGCCAAUAUGCUGUGACGAUCACGCGCUGAUUUUCUGUUUUAUUUAUUGUAGCUGACCUGGAGAUGAUAUCCUGGAGAUGGCAGGAACUUUCUGGAUGGCGAGGU